UGAUGACAUCCUAUAGGCAAGGACAGUGGAGGUAUUAGCUGAUUAGUAAACAGAAACUGAGGAUAGGACUGAAAAGGAGUAUCUCCUGUUCGGAAACCUUCAGUGGCAGCAGGAAGUGAAAUUGAAGUCUCUAGAUCUUCUACUAGCAAUGAAGGAAGAUCAGUUUACUGUCCAGCACCACAACCAAAAUUACACCAACAGAAAGCCAAAUCAAGGUCUAGAGAAAGAUUAAGAUCUCUUGAUAGGUCAGGGUCUCUGAAGAGGUCAAAGUCUAUGGAGAGAUCACAGUCUAGACAAAGGUCAGGAUCAAGGUCAUGGUUUUGUCAAAGAUGAGACAGGUACUGAUCAAGAUAAGAAUUCUUUUCCCCAAGACCACUAAGGAGGCUACCAUUACCCACUGGCUGGAGUAUAAGAAUAGAGGCUACCAAAAAGAUCAAGAGGGUCACAGUUUUAGUGUUUAUUGAUAGCUAUUUUUAGUAACACUAAACUUUUAAUGGACACAAUUUCUAAAAAAAACUAUGAGUUGAUUGUUGCAAUUUGGCAUGGUGAAAUGUGUAUGGGUGAAGUGAGCACUGAUAAAAUAUAGUGAUCAGAAGUUUAUUCAUUUUAUAUAGAUAUUGAUGAUUGAUUCAGCUGUUGUUAUAUAUCAAACUUUGGUGAUCAGAAGUUAAAUCUUUUGGAAGAUAUCGAUAAAUGAAUCCACUAUGAUAUCACAAUAUAACUUAGUUUCUUAGGAGUUCAGUUACAAUGUUGUCAUCUACUAGGCUACAUGAGACAGGAUCCGAUUCCCAGUUUGGUGAUAAAUAUAGAGUCCAUGUGUAUUCAUUACUGUUGAUCUUAGAUUAUAGCACAUGUAUCUUUAAAGCAUGUGUAAUUGUUUAUAUAAACUUCCAAGUCUAAUAAAAAUGCAUUUGUAUGUAUAAUUGUAUGAUAAAAAGUGUGAUUGACAAAUAAAUGAAUGAUUGAUUUGAAUAUUGUAGCUCUACCUUUAAGAAAAGUGUAUACAUUGUGUUUGAAUGAUCAUAUUGUAUA
Molecule: long non-coding RNA, 1032 nt
Organism: Pecten maximus
Lineage: Eukaryota; Metazoa; Mollusca; Bivalvia; Pectinida; Pectinidae
Exons: 3
Source: RefSeq, a predicted model, not a curated record